RNAcentral lists this long non-coding RNA (435 nucleotides) under Papio anubis (olive baboon). RNAcentral's name for it is "lncRNA (ENSPANG00000036713.2)". Lineage: Eukaryota; Metazoa; Chordata; Mammalia; Primates; Cercopithecidae. The record is from RNAcentral.
GAAAACGAUUCAAGACAGACAAGAGCUGCGGCGGUGGGUAGAGGACUCCUACAGAUGCGAGGUAAGGAGCUUUCCUCUCUGCAGUUGCAGGAUCCUUAAGCGCUCAUGAAGAUGGUGCCACAGCCCCUAGACUCUCUCAACACACACUUUCUCAGGUGUUGGCUUUUUCAGAUCGCCCCUUCUGCUGCAAGAAAGGCCCUCAACAACUGGGUAAGUUUUUUUUUUCCCCCUCCUUGCUUUUGGGCCAAGUCAGGACAUGUAUGUAUUUUUCUCCCCACAGCUCUGUGCCCAAGCCUUGCAGAGGGAGACGGCAGAGAGGAAGGCUGCCUGCAAGCAGCACAGGUCAAUUCUUUUUCUCUAUCUUCAAGAUGGGAAAUGAUGGAAAAGCAAGGAGUUCCAGAGAGACACAUGAGUCAGGAAGCCAUAAAGGCUUAA